CCUACGGGAGGCAGCAGUGGGGAAUAUUGGACAAUGGGGGGAACCCUGAUCCAGCGACGCCGCGUGAGUGAAGAAGUAUUUCGGUAUGUAAAGCUCUAUCAGCAGGGAAGAAAGAAAUGACGGUACCUGACUAAGAAGCCCCGGCUAACUACGUGCCAGCAGCCGCGGUAAUACGUAGGGGGCAAGCGUUAUCCGGAUUUACGGGGUGUAAAGGGAGCGUAGACGGCGAUGCAAGUCUGAAGUGAAAGGCGGGGGCCCAACCCCCGGACUGCUUUGGAAACUGUAUGGCUGGAGUGCAGGAGAGGUAAGUGGAAUUCCUAGUGUAGCGGUGAAAUGCGUAGAGAUUAGGAGGAACACCAGUGGCGAAGGCGGCUUACGGGACUGUAACUGACGUUGAGGCUCGAAAGCGUGGGGAGCAAACAGGAUUAGAUACCCCAGUAGUC
Molecule: ribosomal RNA, 443 nt
Filed under: uncultured bacterium
Lineage: Bacteria
Description: partial 16S ribosomal RNA
Rfam family: Bacterial small subunit ribosomal RNA
Source: RNAcentral